This is a long non-coding RNA of Acyrthosiphon pisum (pea aphid), 2052 nucleotides long. RefSeq lists it as uncharacterized. The transcript is spliced from 4 exons. The record is from RefSeq and is a predicted model, not a curated record. NCBI's taxonomy places the organism in Eukaryota, Metazoa, Arthropoda, Insecta, Hemiptera, Aphididae.
UAAAUAGGUUUAUAUAAUAUAGGUAUAAUAUGAAAUAAAUCGGAAAAAGUCAAAUGUGUUACUUAUGACUUAUCUACUAUCGUGUUACAUGGCCAAAUCGGGCCGUAUCAUAUCGACCCGCACACAUUAUACAAUCAACAUAAUCUACAAUCUACCAUGCAUUUACAAAUAUCUAAAAUUUAAAUCCUUCAUAUUUUCUUACAUUAUAUAAUUAUUUCAAAAGGGCGUAAUACCACUAAUACAGUGUGCCAAAUCGUUCACCAAACCAACCAUCUACUUACUACUUAUGUGAUAUGCUGAUGAAAUCUAGAUCACUCGCACAAAAUCCAAACACAUAAAAUCACACAACUGUCUCCACCCCAAUUCCAACAAACAAUAACAAAAAUAAAACAUAUUUGUUUAAAAAAAUUAAUUUGAUUAUUCUCAAAUUCAGUUAGGAGACUGUAAAAAUGGACCAAAAACCAAUAUCCAACAAACAAACUUCUACUCAAAUCAAAGCUCCAUGACCCAUCUGCAUUAGUGCACAAAAUGAUACCUUUAUUAAUCUUUCUAUGAUAAUAAUAUUAUCGAAAGGAGAACUAUUGUUAUGCAAAAGAUCCACAAAUGGUAUGAAACUAUAUGCUAGCUCUCAUAAGAGUCAUACCGUUAGGGCGUUAGCCGUUAGGUUGUCUAAUUUAGUUUAAGUCAGUGAUUCCCACCAUGAGGUAAUCUUACGUACCAAAAGGAGAGAACGUGGUUUGUGGAUUAUUACUUAUUACCUAGGACCUACCCAUAAAUAUAAUAAUUUUAUCAAUUCAUACCUAAUAUAUACCUACCUAUAUUUACCUACUUACAUAAAUAACAUUAAUAUAGGUAUUUCCCAAGCGCACUAUCGAAAUUAAUCAAAUUAUCGCUUGCGCUUAUCGCUGUAGCCUGUAAUGCUUUUCAAUUUUCAUAGACGACGGUCUACGACUAAUCGAUCCACUGCGUGCCACAACUCACAGACCACUGCAGUCCACAGAUGUGUCGCGUCGUCCCAAUAGCAACACAAAUUUCCACUAAAUUGUGACCAAAACGUGUCAACGAUAAUUUCGGACUUUACACAUAAUACAACAUUACGACUACUUUUGAAUGAUAUACUUUAGAAAUGUUCAAUCAGUAGUGACUAGUGACUACACGUGUAAAGGGAAAAUAUCUACAAAUCAUAUUAUAGCACCGGAAUUUCAAUUGUGCUGACCGCGGAGACGAGGGGUUUGAAUGCGGAGUUGCAGUCGAAAAAAUUUAGAUUCAUGCGGACUUGCGGUACGUUUGAAAAAUUCAACCCCUGGGCGUGUAGAUGACCAUGUUAAAGACUUGGAGCAAGAUUGGAGAAAAUAAUACAAAUUCAUUUAUUUCGGAUAUUUGGAUUUUGUUUGAAAGAUGUGAUUGCGAUUUGUAGGUCAUUUGUGCUUGCGGACGAGAAUAAUACCCAAUGAUUUUCCACUGAUUCCACGGAGAAACAAACAAUAUUUAUGUUUUGAGCAGAAGGAAGAGUUAUGGUAAAAUGGUAAAAAUAAUAUGGAACAAUAUUCAUGCAAAACCUUUUUUUUUUUUUUCUAUUAAUCCUAUUAUACGGUAAUUAUGUUUUUGUAGGAUUUAAGGAAAGCUCGUCUUUAAAACAUAUUUGUGCAACUGCUCAAAACCUGGUUAUUUUUUUAUAUUGUGUAUAUUCAAAAUCAACAUCAUAACACGUUUAAUUUGAGAAAUGCUUAAUCAAAUCAUGCACAGUAAAUAAUAAUGGGAAGCAUAAAGGACGCCAACACAACCAAUAUUUAAGAAGUGUGAUGUUGGCAGGACAUAUUGAGAAGAAUUAAAAUUUUAAAUCUUAAAUACAAUAGAUUACUGAUUCAAAAUAUUUAAAAGCUGUCCCGUAUCAGCACCAACAAUAGUUAUUGUAUGACAAGAUUGUAUUGUAAAACGGUUUUAUGUGAUACAAACUUACAAGUACAAUAUUUAAAGCAGAUUUACCAAAUUUUCUUAUUACAUAGCAGAUAACUUUAUCUCGUAAUGUUUUUGUGUGAAAACUGAACUACU